GAUGAACGCUGGCGGCGUGCCUAAUACAUGCAAGUCGAGCGAACAGACGAUGAGCUUGCUCUCCUGCCGUUAGCGGCGGACGGGUGAGUAACACGUACAUAGCCUUCUUCUUUUACUGGGAUAACUUCGGGAAACCAGUUCCACUACCGGCUCAUACAUUCUACCGCUUGGAUCAAUAGUUAAUGACGCCUUUGCUGUUACAUUUAGACGGUUCCGCGUCGCAUUAGCUAGUUGGUAAGGUAACGGCUAACCAAGGCGACGAAGCGUAGCCGACCUGAGAGGGUGAUCGGCCACACUGGAACUGAGACACGGUCCAGACUCCUACGGGAGGCAGCAGUGGGGAAUAUUCGACAAUGGGCGAAAGCCUGACGGAGCAACACCGCGUGGGUGAAGAAGGCCUUCGGAUCGUAAAGCUCUGUUAUUGGGAAAGAAAAAAUGUAGAUGUAUCUAUGGACGUCUUGACGGUACCUAAUCAGAAAGCCACGGCUAACUACGUG
This 497-nucleotide ribosomal RNA is filed under the name uncultured bacterium. RNAcentral describes it as "partial 16S ribosomal RNA". It matches the Rfam family "Bacterial small subunit ribosomal RNA", at positions 28 to 507 of the family's 1533-position model. The record is from RNAcentral.